CCCCGCCCACCCCCUGGCCUUCAUGAUUGGUGAGAAACACUACAACAGGAACAGCGAUCCUCGCUCUCCACUGGACUAGUCAGCCGCCGCUCAAAGUUGCUCCCACCUUCUCCCCGCCCCUUUUCCCGGGUUGGUCCUCCCGCUAAUCAUUCUCUGUCCUCGCUUCCAACGUCGCUUUGGAGAAUUGGCAGUCAAGCCUCGCCAUCCCGCCUCCGGAAAGCGAACUUUAUUUUUAUUGGUGAAAGAACAUCUUCCUGUAUACCUGAUUGGGCAAGGAAGGAACUAGUCUGCACGCCCCCUACCAUUAUUACUCUCCCUUUACGGGCUUGGGAAACACAGCUGUAAAGUCCUCCCCACUUUGCUUUCUAGGAGCUCCUUUCCCUUUAAAUGUUGUUGGGGGUCGAGGACAAACUCAUAUCCUAUAUUGAAGAAAGCUGGAAAGGGACAAGAGAAAAAUUCAAAAUUUUCUCCCGAUGAGUAAUGCAUCCAGAGCUGGCGCUCGGAUCCUGCGGAACCUUAUCCUGUGGUCCAGUGAAUGGAAUGGUUAGAAUUGAGUUAGAAUACCUGAAAGUCCAGUGCUAAUUCUUCCUGAGAUUUACUCAACAAGUUUCGUCCACUGUCCGCUCUACUCAUACCAUUGAUUGCACUGGCAUUUUGCCACGCGAAAGAGCUUUAAUCAAGGUAUCUGAAAACCUGGAGGUUUCCUUGCUUGUCUAGUCAGUUGAACCCAAGUCGGUACCAUAAGGCUGAUUCUUGAACGACUGAGGUGCCUCUCGGGAGAAAACGCAUCUCUCAGAGGGAGUCUGAUACCAGAAGCUUCACCCUGGAGCGGAAACUCACUCAUUGAAAAGAGAAGAAAUUACGGGAAAGCCUAGUGUGGCGUCUGCAUUAGAAUUUCCCCAGGUUCCCAGGGAAGCUGCAAGAACCAAAAGAGCCAACAGGUAAUGAAUCAGAGAAGACCAGAAUCACCAUAAAGAGACAGAAUGGCUCCUAACCCUACGCACUUCAGAAAAGGAUAAAAUGUGCCAUUGUAUCUAAAAAGAUAAGCAUAUCCAUCAGAAUGAGAAUGGUUAGCCACAGAGGUAUACAAAUAGAAGAGUCACAGAAAACUGCUGGCAGCCUUCAUUCAAGCCCUUAUGGAGAGAGGAUACCUUGAUUGAAGGCCUCAGUUUAUCAAUCUGAGUGGGAGGAGGAACCAUAAAAAUGUCUAAAAGCAAUGAUAAGAAACAAGGAUAUCACCUCUAGGUCCUGUGAAAAUGAGAUGUAGGAGAAAACAGUGACCACUGAGAGAGCUGAGAGUGUAGUUUCUUCAAAGGCACCUUAAAUGAAUUAUCUAAUUUGUUCUUCAAAACAACCUUGUGACCUAGGUGCUAAUACCAUGUUCUACCUUUCACGGAAGAAAAAAAUCUGUUCAGAGACAUGAACUUGCUGAAAGUCAUACAGUGACUUCCUUCCAAGGCAGGAACCAACAGUUGAGCAAUCCCAGUGGACGAAGUAUGCCUUUUGCCAAUACUUUCAGCUAAGAUCUCAGUGUGGACAACAGCCUAGCUUGAGACGUGAGCGCAUAGCUAGAACCAAGGAGUGGAAUCAGCCUCAACCUCACCACACUGACUGAAAGGGAAGAAUGCUUUGUUUUGCAAAAGAAAAUCAAGGCAUUGCUACCAAAAGAAGAGAGGCAUCUGGGAAGCUGCAACAAUGAGCAUUUGCUAUGGUACAUAUGGAUCUACUUAUGAUGUGAGCUAGACGUUUUUGGCAAUUGGAUUAUCGUUUGUUCAACUAUUAUUUUCAGAGAUUGGGUAUUGCUCUAUUGACCAGACUGGAGUACAGUGGUGUGACUGUAGCUCACUGCAAAUAAAUAUGGAGGAAGUGAUAGUGUGUGAUCUCUGACACUAGGUCAUACAGGGCAUUACAGCUUCCUCCUCUACUUCUCACAUCACUCACUCUGCAGAAGCCUGAUGCCUGAUCAUGAGGACACUCAACCAGCACGAAGGAGAGGAACUAAGGCCCCUGUCAGCAACUGUGUCAGUAAGCUGCCUUGGAAGUGGAUACUGUAGCCCCAAGAGAGCCUUCAGAUGAUUGCAAACCCAGUCUGCAUAUUCAUCACAGCCUUGUAAGAGAUCCUGAGGCAGAGCCACACAACACCUACUCCCAAAUUUCUGAGCCACAAAAACUGCCAGAUAAUAAACGUGUGUUGUUUUGAGCUGCUAAAUUUUGGGAUAAUUUAUUACACAACAAUGAAAACUAAUACAGGGACUAUACAGAUGUACUUUAAAUCUUCAAGAAAAACAAACACCUGAGAGUUCAUCACCUUACUCAGAACAGCGCACUAUUUAAAACUUACGGAAAAAAAAAAAGAAAAACAAACAAAACCUCACAUUUUCUGCAUGCAAACCAAGUCCCGGAUGCUGUCAGGUGCUUUAAAACUUAUAACUUUCUAUGAUUCAGAAUCUCAGAGAUACUAAUAGAUUCUUCUUAGGUUCAUAUUAAUACUGACACAUGGGCUCCAUGAUUUUAUUGAUGAUUCUCUUCAUCUCUUCUGCUGAAAAAAAAAAGGAAAGCAAGCACAAAAUAUGCCUUAAAAGGAUAAUCCAUAUAUUCAGAUACAUUCUGGUACUGCAGGAUUUCUGAAGUCCUCUUAAAUCAUUUCUAGAAGAGGCUGGGCAUGGUGGCUCACGCCUGUAAUCCUAGCACUUUGGGAGGCCGAGGCGGGUGGAUCACGAGGUCAGGAGUUUGAGACCAGUCUGGCCAACAUAGUGAAACCGUGUCUCUACUAAAAAUACAAAAAAUUAGCUGAGUGUGGUGGUAUGCACCUAUAAUCCCAGCUUCUUGGAAGACUGAGGCAGAGAAUCACAUGAACCCAGGAGACCAAGGUUGCAGUGAGCCGAGAUCACACCAUUGCACUCCAGCCCGGGCAACAGUGCGAGACUCCAUCUAAAAGAGAAAAAAGAAAAAAUUAUCUAGAAGAAGUUCACACAAUGGCAGAUACAAGGUUUCUCUGUAGACAAGACUCAGAGAUUGGCAAUGUGUUUGCAAGAAGUAGCUGGGAGGUAAUUGUCUUGAAACUUCAUUUGCAUGAAACUAUGCUUUUUUUGGAGUGAUCUGCAAAACCUGCCAGGGAAUUUACAUUUCUCGGUAAGCCUGUUUUUUGGACGGUCUUUAAGAAGUGCUGCACUUUGUCAAAGGUCUGAAAACUAUAGUGGGUCUUACAUACGAAAAAAUCUUCACUCCUUGCUCUGCUCAUGUACCCCAAAACCUAUAAUCCAAUAAAAAAUUAAAAAAAAAAAAAAAAAAUCUUCACUCCUGAGGCUCAUGAACUACACUAGGUUCUGACAAUGUGGACAGGGCUGUCUCAGUUCUUGUCAAAUUCUCAAAUCCCUACUCUAGUGGCUAGGAGGAAAUCACACUGCUGCAUUAGCUAGCAGCUCAGAACCCCUACGGUCCCAACAUUACUUUUCCUUUCAUUUCCCAUCACCUCUGUUUUAAUGACAACAAAGCUUUUUGUGGCCAAGGUGUAAAUUCAUUGAGUAUGAAAUAUUUACAUUCCACUAUCCAGUCAACAUCAUAUUCUUUCAGCUUUCCUGCGUAGAUAAUCCACACAUACCUGUUCUUUGGCAUCAUAGUGACUAGCAGAUCUUUUGAUAAUCUUAACUUUAUCCCUAUCUGAUUGUCUUCAUUUCAUCCCUACUCAACUUCAAUUCCAUUGCCCAUAAUGGAACCAUUCUCUUGCCAUUCUCUUCAGCCAUUCUCUUGCCAAUAUCCUCAACUACUUUGUCUUUCUAUCACAAAUGUAUAAAGUGGCCUGUAUUCUGUAACUUUCAUUACUGUCUUCCUCCUAGUCACACAGGAUGAGUCAGUCCUUAUUCCAUUUAUGUCGAUUUAUCCACCUGUGCAUCUCUCUCUCUCUUGCUCUGUUUGGAUAUUCUAUGCCAAUAUGUCCCAAUCUUUUUUAUAUUGAGGCACAUACGGAAUAAUGGAGUUCACUAGAAUAAACUGGAGGCAACUGAAACAUCUAUAUUAGCACUUAGUUGAUAUAUAGUAACUGCAAUUAAAAAUACCAAAUGCAAAGGAAGAUAACAAAAGAUAAUAAAUACUGGCUUUUACUGAAUAAAUAUUGAAUUUUAUAAGACUUUGAAACAGUAUCUUUUAAAACUUGGGCUUGCUUCUCAAAAUCCAACUUCUUACUAUUUACUAUUAGGCUUAAA
Non-coding RNA from Callithrix jacchus (white-tufted-ear marmoset), 4202 nucleotides. The record is from RefSeq and is a predicted model, not a curated record. NCBI's taxonomy places the organism in Eukaryota, Metazoa, Chordata, Mammalia, Primates, Cebidae.